Molecule: long non-coding RNA, 516 nt
Organism: Sorex fumeus (smoky shrew)
Lineage: Eukaryota; Metazoa; Chordata; Mammalia; Eulipotyphla; Soricidae
Exons: 3
Source: RefSeq, a predicted model, not a curated record
CGGAGGGGGUCCCCGGGGCGGGGCGCCGGGCGGGGGGCGGAGCUGCCGUGCGGGCGCCGGACCCCAGGCUCCAGGGUGUCCCCCAGGCCCGGGCGGGACCCGGCCCGGCGCUUCCUCCUCCCGCCGCUGCUCUUCCUCCUCCUCCUCCUCCUCCUCCUCCUGCUCCCCGGGCCGCGGCCCCUCCCCCUCCCGCGCUCCCUCCUCCCCGCGCUCCUCCCGCCGCCUCCUCCUUUCUCUCCCGAUCUGUCUCGGGGCCCGGGAAUCCACCCGGCCUGCGCGCCGGAGCGGCCCGGCCGCCGUCUGCUGCCCCCGGCCCAGGUGAGCGCCCCCCGCCCAGAACACAGAGGCUCAGGGAAGUGAAGUGACGUUCCCAGCUAUGAGAGGGCGAAGCAGGAUUUGAAGCCAGCCCGCAGACCUCGGCUCCGUCCCUGCCUGGCCGAUGAGGACACCGCGGGCCAGCCAAGUGAAGUGACGCACCCGCCGCCGCCCCCCGCUGGCCCAGGGCCAGCAGAGUCG